Molecule: ribosomal RNA, 378 nt
Filed under: uncultured eukaryote
Lineage: Eukaryota
Description: partial 18S ribosomal RNA
Rfam family: Eukaryotic small subunit ribosomal RNA
Source: RNAcentral
CAAUAGCGUAUAUUUAAGUUGCUGCAGUUAAAAAGCUCGUAGUUGGAUUUCGGGUGGGAAUGGCCGGUCCGCCGUUUCGGUGUGCACUUGCUACGCCCACCUUGCUGCCGGGGACGUGCUCUUGAGUUCACGCUCGGGACACGGAGUCGGCGAGGUUACUUUGAGUAAAUUAGAGCGUUCAAAGCAGGCCUACGCUCUGAAUACAUUAGCAUGGAAUAACACGAUAGGACUCUGGCCUAUCUUGUUGGUCUGUAGGACCGGAGUAAUGAUUAAGAGGGACAGUCGGGGGCAUUCGUAUUUCAUUGUCAGAGGUGAAAUUCUUGGAUUUAUGAAAGACGAACUACUGCGAAAGCAUUUGCCAAGGAUGUUUUCAUUAAC